UUGCUUUCUCUCUCUCUCUAAAACUCCUCAGCCAAACACUUCCCAACACCCCAAAUUCCCAUUUCAUUUCCAUUCUCUCUCUCUAGAAAUCUCUCCAUCAUGGCGGCGCAGAAGAGAGAGAAAGAAGAAACCGAGCUGAAGGUGCCGGAAUCCAUCCCUCUAUGCUCUCCAACUCUACCGGUACCUUCACCAUCGCCUCCUUCUACGACGACGCACCUCUCAGUUGCUGUUAUCUCAGAUCUGAAGCGUUCUGAUAGAUCGUCGACGGAGAGUAUAGAUCUGAAGGUUUCUAGUAUGGAUGAUCAAUCGAGAUCUACAUCAGCUGCAUCGCCGGAAAGUAUGGAUCUGGUUGGUAGAAAAACAGGGGUUAAGAGGCAAAGAGAAGCGAACCGAUGUUCUGGUAUGGGUUGCCGGAGGAAAGUCGGAUUGAUGCCGUUCCGGUGCCGGUGUGGGGAAGUGUUCUGCUCGGAGCAUAGGUACUCCGAUCGACAUGACUGUAGUUACGAUUACAAAGCAGCUGGUCGUGAAGCGAUUGCUAAGGAAAAUCCAGUGGUGAAAGCUGCAAAAAUUCUCAAAGUUUAAAAUUGGAAAUCUGAAGUUUUUUUUUUUUGUUUUUUUUGGGUAUUUUCAAAGUUGUUGAAGCAGUCAAGGGUGGGUGGGAAAUGAAUGGUGGAGGUGUUGUGUUGUAAAUUUGACGAAUGGAUGAGGGUAUUGUUGUCAUUUUUAAGUUAUUAAAAUUAUUAAAAUAAGUUAGUGGACAUCCUUUUUUUUUUUUUGCUUUUAACUUUGUGCUGCGUUGUACUUG
RNAcentral lists this unclassified non-coding RNA (805 nucleotides) under Hevea brasiliensis (rubber tree). Lineage: Eukaryota; Viridiplantae; Streptophyta; Magnoliopsida; Malpighiales; Euphorbiaceae. The record is from RNAcentral.